RNAcentral lists this ribosomal RNA (460 nucleotides) under uncultured bacterium. RNAcentral describes it as "partial 16S ribosomal RNA". It matches the Rfam family "Bacterial small subunit ribosomal RNA", at positions 338 to 795 of the family's 1533-position model. The record is from RNAcentral.
CCUACGGGUGGCAGCAGUGAGGAAUAUUGGUCAAUGGGCGCGAGCCUGAACCAGCCAAGUCGCGUGAGGGAUGACGGCCCUACGGAUUGUAAACCUCUUUUGCCGGGGAGCAAGCCUGCGUUCGUGAACGCGCGUCGAGAGUACCCGGAGAAAAAGCAUCGGCAAACUCCGUGCCAGCAGCCGCGGUAAUACGGAGGAUGCGAGGGUUAUCCGGAUUUAUUGGGUUUAAUGGGUGCGUAGGCGGGAUGCAAAGUCAGCGGUAAAAAUGCGGGCCGAAACGCCGUAGAGCCGUUGAAACUGGCGUUCUUGAGUGGGCGAGAGGUAUGCGGAAUGCGUGGUGUAGCGGUGAAAUGCAUAGAUAUCACGCAGAACUCCGAUUGCGAAGGCAGCAUACCGGCGCCCUACUGACGCUGAGGCACGAAAGCGUGGGUAUCGAACAGGAUUAGAUACCCUUGUAGUC